AUUGAACGCUGGCGGAAUGCUUUACACAUGCAAGUCGAACGGCAGCAUAGGUGCUUGCACCUGAUGGCGAGUGGCGAACGGGUGAGUAAUACAUCGGAACGUGCCCAGUCGUGGGGGAUAACGUAGCGAAAGUUACGCUAAUACCGCAUACGAUCUAAGGAUGAAAGCGGGGGACCGUAAGGCCUCGCGCGAUUGGAGCGGCCGAUGUCAGAUUAGGUAGUUGGUGGGGUAAAGGCCCACCAAGCCAACGAUCUGUAGCUGGUCUGAGAGGACGACCAGCCACACUGGGACUGAGACACGGCCCAGACUCCUACGGGAGGCAGCAGUGGGGAAUUUUGGACAAUGGGCGCAAGCCUGAUCCAGCCAUUCCGCGUGCAGGACGAAGGCCUUCGGGUUGUAAACUGCUUUUGUACGGAGCGAAAAGCCUUGGGUUAAUACCUCGAGGUCAUGACGGUACCGUAAGAAUAAGCACCGGCUAACUACGUGCCAGCAGCCGCCGUAA
Molecule: ribosomal RNA, 502 nt
Filed under: uncultured bacterium
Lineage: Bacteria
Description: partial 16S ribosomal RNA
Rfam family: Bacterial small subunit ribosomal RNA
Source: RNAcentral